Molecule: ribosomal RNA, 214 nt
Filed under: Pseudoalteromonas sp. 5Ae-yellow
Lineage: Bacteria; Pseudomonadati; Pseudomonadota; Gammaproteobacteria; Alteromonadales; Pseudoalteromonadaceae
Description: partial 23S ribosomal RNA
Rfam family: Bacterial large subunit ribosomal RNA
Source: RNAcentral
AUGUUAAUCAGGGUAGGGUAAGUCGACCCCUAAGGCGAGGCCGAAAGGCGUAGUCGAUGGGAAACAGAUUAAUAUUUCUGUACUCGAUAUAAUUGCGAUGGGGGGACGGAGCAGGCUAAGCAAGCAUGGCGUUGGUAGUCCAUGUGAAAGUGAGUAGGGCGUUUGUUUAGGUAAAUCCGGACGAACACUAAACCUGAGACACGAGACGAGUCAC